This 253-nucleotide ribosomal RNA is filed under the name uncultured bacterium. Its description in RNAcentral is "partial 16S ribosomal RNA". It matches the Rfam family "Bacterial small subunit ribosomal RNA", at positions 524 to 776 of the family's 1533-position model. The record is from RNAcentral.
UACGUAGGUGGCAAGCGUUGUCCGGAAUUAUUGGGCGUAAAGCGCGCGCAGGCGGUCCUUUAAGUCUGAUGUGAAAGCCCACGGCUCAACCGUGGAGGGUCAUUGGAAACUGGGGGACUUGAGUGCAGGAGAGAAAAGUGGAAUUCCACGUGUAGCGGUGAGAUGCGUAGAGAUGUGGAGAAACACCAGUGGCGAAGGCGACUUUUUGGCCUGUAACUGACGCUGAGGCGCGAAAGCGUGGGGAGCAAACAGG